Molecule: ribosomal RNA, 497 nt
Filed under: uncultured bacterium
Lineage: Bacteria
Description: partial 16S ribosomal RNA
Rfam family: Bacterial small subunit ribosomal RNA
Source: RNAcentral
GAUGAACGCUGGCGGCGUGCCUAAUACAUGCAAGUCGAGCGAACAGACGAGGAGCUUGCUCCUCUGACGUUAGCGGCGGACGGGUGAGUAACACGUGGAUAACCUACCUAUAAGACUGGGAUAACUUCGGGAAACCGGAGCUAAUACCGGAUAAUAUAUUGAACCGCAUGGUUCAAUAGUGAAAGACGGUUUUGCUGUCACUUAUAGAUGGAUCCGCGCCGCAUUAGCUAGUUGGUAAGGUAACGGCUUACCAAGGCAACGAUGCGUAGCCGACCUGGGAGGGUGAUCGGCCACACUGGAACUGAGACACGGUCCAGACCCCUACGGGAGGCAGCAGUAGGGAAUCUUCCGCAAUGGGCGAAAGCCUGACGGAGCAACGCCGCGUGAGUGAUGAAGGUCUUCGGAUCGUAAAACUCUGUUAUUAGGGAAGAACAAAUGUGUAAGUAACUAUGCACGUCUUGACGGUACCUAAUCAGAAAGCCACGGCUAACUACGUG